GGGGAAAGCCGGGGAAACAAAGAACAUGGCGUGGGGAGGAGGAGCCUGCGCCCCCCGCCCCCGCCGGGAAGGGCGCUUUGGGGGCGGACAAUGCCCGGCCCUGCCCGCCCCGGCCGCGGCGGCGGCGCCCGGGGGCGGCUCGGCUGGCCUCCCCCCGCCCCCUUUCCCCGCCCCUGUGGCAGGGCCCGGCGGGACGGGACGGGCUGGGCUGGGCUGGGCUGGGCUGGGCUGGGCAGGCGGCGGCGGCGGCGGCGGCCGCCGCAAGUUUCUUCCAGAGUGGGGAAAGUCGGGCGCGGCGCCGCGGCCCGGCGGGACCCGGGCAGAUUCCUGGAAAUCUGAGGAGCAGUCUUUGGAGGCCGAAGAAUGCAAUUCUCCCUGGAGGUGUGGGUAUCUUGCAUGAAAGGGACUGAAGUAGAAUCAGCUGGUAUCCAAGAAGCACAACCUCAAGACACUCAGGACACUCAUACUUUGGAGUGAACUGGUAGGAAGCCUUGCAGUACCACAGUGGCGAAAAUAGUGGCUGUCCUCUGGAGAUGCUGAAGCUCAGCUUUAUUUUGAACUUUGUUCUUACACCUCCCAGAUUGUGCACAAAGUACUUGAUUUGGAUUUGUAUCGUAUAAAAUAGCCAUGGGUAUGGGGGGGGGGGCGUUCCUUCGCUUUACUUGACAUCAACCUGUUUCUGGCAAUCAGUGAUAAUCUGUACUAGGUCUGCUGACCUUUGGUCUGUUUUCGAUAGCUCUGAGUGACAGGUACUGUAAACAUCCUACACUCUCAGCUGUGGAAACUAAGAAAGCUGGGAGAAGGCUGUUUACUCUCCCUGCCUUGGAAAUCAUCCGGAGGAAAAGGAUGGAAUAUUCUGAGCUCUGUGUUGAUUGUAUUUCUGACAACCUGUAUUUCAUAUUUUAUGUUAUAGUGUCAGUAAACAAAUAAUAGUAUUAUAUCAUGUCAUCAGUGUCUGGUGUUCUGACUGAGGGCGGAAGGGCCUUACAAUAUGAUUUAGCUGCACUGCUGGCUUGAGGGAAACCUAAAUAGUAGCAAUAAUACAUUACAAUACUUCCAUCCUUAAGCAGUGAUUAAAACAGUGUUGUGCUGUUUGUUCAUAGGUGGUGGUACAUACAAGUUACAGUGUAGACAUGCUCAGGUUGACACAUCAGUAGUGUAUUUAAUGAAAAUCAUCCUUAAAUAUUUGGUUCUUGUUUUCUAAGAUUCACUCAAUUCUGGUUUCCUACCAAAAAGGGCUAGAAAUAGAGGUCAGAAGGCAAAAAGGUUCUAGGGGACUUCAAAUUUUCAGUUUCUUUUCAAAGAAAUUCAGAGGUGUCAACACUGAUUAACUCCAUCUAUAAAUUAACUGAAUUAAAGAUACAAAGGUAUUUACCUUAUGUUCUCCACUUGCUGUUCCCUGCCAUUUGUCCCCCAGACUGUAUUAUUCUUUGUACUUUGUCCUGGCAACCUUCCUCUUCCUUGUUGUGUUUCUUUCAUUCUAUUUGCUGUUAGCCAAGUAGAGCUUCUCAUUUUAAAUGUAGAAUAAGCUGAAAAAAACCACCCUUUUAAAUCUAGUAGCCUGCUGGCAUGGUCUAAAUUCUCAUGAAGUGCAGUUUUUCAGCUCUUCUUAAGGAGGGACUUUGGCAGAAAGAAUAUUGUUCCCGUCUUUUUUCUUAUUUAUGGGAGAGGACACCUUUUGUGCUCUCUAAGAAAUGUUUUUUAGAAUACAGUUGAAUUCAAAGAUCACCUUCUAGCUCCUUUUGCAAUACCACUCUUAUGUCUUCAGAUCCUGCUGCUCUAUCUUUUUAGCAGAGGCAUUUAAAUAUAAAAUCUUUGAAAUAUAAGGCUGUUAAAAGAGUUUAAAUAUCAGGGUUUGGAAAGUGAUGGGAGUGGGAAGACAACAGGAGAAUGGUGAAAGAUGGUGUAUAGAUUUGAAGUAAUACUUGUACAAAAUGGACAAGAAAGAAUGCAAACUGUUCGGCAGUGCUAAAAAAGAAGUCAGUUAUUUGAAGCUAUAAUUAUUUUUCAGGCUCUGGCUUGCCUUCUUUUUGGAAAAAGGAAUUGGAGGGGAAGCCAGAGUCACAGGGCCUGUUAGAGUGCUGUAGCCAAGGAGUAAGUUGAUGAGUGAAAAGAAGGUUGAGGUCUGGUUAUGCAGUAACAAACACCAGAGCUUUGGGUUUGUGGGAUUUUUAACUCAUGAUUUGUGUAGCAAUUUCUAAGAAAAGCAGAGUUAGCUUCCUAAAAUGAUCAUUUUAAGGAGACAUUAGCUGUUCAGACUAGUCAAACGAUAGAGGGUAGCAUUUCCUAAUACACAUGGUUCCUUUGGCAGAGAGAUAUUUCCAAGGGUGACAGAGCACACAGUUACAUUCUCCAGUGCAUGACGGUACUGAUUGGAGGCUAUGCUGUUGAGGAAAGAUAACCUUCUGAAAGAGAUAACAUCCUGAAAUUUUGGAGUGUGGUGGUUUUUUUUAUAUUAUUCUUAUUUAGGUUUGCUUUAGGUUUGGAAUAAUUAUUUUGUGUCAAUUGAAGAAACUUCUCUAUGUUUAGUAUUACUUAUUUGGGCGUUUAAUAGUGAAAUUCCAUCUUCAUUUUUGUCAGUGUAAGUUGAGAGUGUUGGAGUCUUUCUCGUACAUCCUUCCUUGGCCACGCUUUCGUGCCCUUUUACUUGUGCUGACAUUAAUGUUUGUUUAAACUGCGAGCUAAUUCAGUGGCUUGACCUUGCUGAAAACUAAAUAAGCAAAACAGCUUUUAUGUGGAUCAGCUGAGUAAUGACUUACUCCACCACUUGCUGUGGCCAAAAAUGCUACUGAAAAUGCUAAUUCCUUCAAAUAUGGCCACUUCUCUGAAGAGCUAGAACACAGUUUAUUUUAAAUAGAUUAUGAAAUCCUAAAACAGUAAAAUGGUGAAAUUACAGGAUUUUUUAAUAUUUUCUGUGUUUUAUUUGAUGUUACAUUCUUCUGUUAAUGCUGUUUAAGUGCAGUUGCAAGCAUGGUGCUAAAAUAAAUUCAGUAAAAUAGUUUUAAUUAAAAUUUUUCAUUUUUUGGAUGCUGUU
Non-coding RNA from Phalacrocorax carbo (great cormorant), 3034 nucleotides. The record is from RefSeq and is a predicted model, not a curated record. NCBI's taxonomy places the organism in Eukaryota, Metazoa, Chordata, Aves, Suliformes, Phalacrocoracidae.